CCUACGGGUGGCAGCAGUGAGGAAUAUUGGUCAAUGGGCUUACGCCUGAACCAGCCAAGUCGCGUGAGGGAAGACUGCCCUAUGGGUUGUAAACCUCUUUUGUCAGGGAGCAAUUGGCGCUACGUGUAGCGUUAUCGAGAGUACCUGAAGAAAAAGCAUCGGCUAACUCCGUGCCAGCAGCCGCGGUAAUACGGAGGAUGCGAGCGUUAUCCGGAUUUAUUGGGUUUAAAGGGUGCGUAGGCGGAAUGCCAAGUCAGCGGUAAAAUCGCGGGGCUCAACCUCGCUCCGCCGUUGAAACUGUGCGGCUGGAGUGCAGGAGGGGUAAGCGGAAUUCCUAGUGUAGCAGUGAAAUGCGUAGAUAUUAGGAGGAACACCGGUGGCGAAGGCGGCUUACUGGACUGUAACUGACGUUGAGGCUCGAAAGCGUGGGGAGCAAACGGGAGUAGAUACCCCAGUAGUC
This 460-nucleotide ribosomal RNA is filed under the name uncultured bacterium. RNAcentral describes it as "partial 16S ribosomal RNA". It matches the Rfam family "Bacterial small subunit ribosomal RNA", at positions 338 to 795 of the family's 1533-position model. The record is from RNAcentral.